UACGUAGGUGGCAAGCGUUGUCCGGAUUUACUGGGCGUAAAGAGCGCGCAGGCGGUCGAUUAAGUCGAAUGUGAAAGCCCCCGGCUCAACUGGGGAGGGUCAUUCGAUACUGAUCGACUUGAAGGCAGGAGAGAGAAGUGGAAUUCCCGGUGUAGUGGUGAAAUGCGUAGAUAUCGGGAGGAACACCAGUGGCGAAGGCGACUUCUUGGCCUGUUCUUGACGCUGAGGCGCGAAAGUGUGGGGAUCAAACAGG
Molecule: ribosomal RNA, 253 nt
Filed under: uncultured bacterium
Lineage: Bacteria
Description: partial 16S ribosomal RNA
Rfam family: Bacterial small subunit ribosomal RNA
Source: RNAcentral